CGUCCGUAGCUCAGUUGGUUAGAGCACCACCUUGACAUGGUGGGGGUCGGUGGUUCGAGUCCACUCGGACGCACCAG
Molecule: transfer RNA, 77 nt
Filed under: Escherichia coli P12b
Lineage: Bacteria; Pseudomonadati; Pseudomonadota; Gammaproteobacteria; Enterobacterales; Enterobacteriaceae
Also listed under: 1 other name
Description: tRNA-Val
Rfam family: tRNA
About the family: Transfer RNA (tRNA) molecules are approximately 80 nucleotides in length.
Source: RNAcentral